Molecule: ribosomal RNA, 327 nt
Filed under: uncultured eukaryote
Lineage: Eukaryota
Description: partial 18S ribosomal RNA
Rfam family: Eukaryotic small subunit ribosomal RNA
Source: RNAcentral
CCCUUAGAUGUUCUGGGCCGCACGCGCGCUACACUGACGAAUGCAACGAGCUUAUAACCUUGGCCGAAAGGUCUGGGUAAUCUCCAAAUUUCGUCGUGAUGGGGAUAGAUUAUUGCAAUUAUUAAUCGUCAACGAGGAAUGCCUAGUAAGCGCAAGUCAUCAGCUUGCGUUGAUUACGUCCCUGCCCUUUGUACACACCGCCCGUCGCUCCUACCGAUUGAAUGGUCCGGUGAAGCGUUCGGACCGUGGCCUUUGGACGGUUCGCCGUCUGUUGGCUGCGGGAAGUUCGUUAAACCUUAUCAUUUAGAGGAAGGAGAANUCGUANCA